RNAcentral lists this unclassified non-coding RNA (200 nucleotides) under soil metagenome. RNAcentral's name for it is "partial contains internal transcribed spacer 2 and large subunit ribosomal RNA". The record is from RNAcentral.
ACACCCCUCAAGCGUAGCUUGGUAUUGGACUUUCGCGAGCCCUUGUACAAGCUCGCGGGUUCGAAAAGCAGUGGCGGUCCCCGAGGAUUUCGCGCGUAGUAAAUUUUAUCCCGCGUUGGAAAGAAUCGAUGGGUCUUGCCAAAACCCCCUAAUCUCCAUAAAUUGACCUCGGAUCAGGUAGGGAUACCCGCUGAACUUAA